This 131-nucleotide microRNA precursor is filed under the name Glycine soja. Its description in RNAcentral is "MIR390 microRNA precursor family". It matches the Rfam family "MIR390 microRNA precursor family". The record is from Rfam by way of RNAcentral. Lineage: Eukaryota; Viridiplantae; Streptophyta; Magnoliopsida; Fabales; Fabaceae.
UGGAAGAAUUUGUAAAGCUCAGGAGGGAUAGCGCCAUGGAAGGUCUUUCUACUAAUUUGCUCUAUCAUGGGUGCUUUGGUUCCGAUCAUCUUCUCUAGCGCUAUCCAUCCUGAGUUUCAUGGUUUCUUCAU